RNAcentral lists this ribosomal RNA (255 nucleotides) under uncultured bacterium. RNAcentral describes it as "partial 16S ribosomal RNA". It matches the Rfam family "Bacterial small subunit ribosomal RNA", at positions 85 to 334 of the family's 1533-position model. The record is from RNAcentral.
CGUGGGGAAAGCGGCGAACGGGUGAGUAACACGUGGGUAACCCACCCUUGGUACCGGGAUAGCCCGAGGAAACUCGGAUUAAUACCGGAUGGCCCAACAGCUCUUCGGGGCGGUUGGAAAAGGUAGCUUCGGCCUCCGACCAAGGACGGGCCCGCGGCGGAUUAGCUUGUUGGUGAGGUAACGGCUCACCAAGGCUUCGAUCCGUAGCUGGUCUGAGAGGACGAUCAGCCACACUGGGACUGAGACACGGCCCAG